Molecule: long non-coding RNA, 1293 nt
Filed under: Homo sapiens (human)
Lineage: Eukaryota; Metazoa; Chordata; Mammalia; Primates; Hominidae
Description: HSALNT0050641
Source: RNAcentral
GGUUUCCCUGCUAUGUUUUGUCACACAUCAUUGCUGGGAGAGUUCAGUGCUAUCCAAGUGACUCCCCCGGGAGAGGACAACUGGAAAUUUAUGCCUGGUGUCUUCCUGGACUCCGACCUAUGCACCUUUUUCCUUGGAUGAUUUUAACCUGUCUCCUUUUGCUGCAAUGAACCAUAACCAUGAGUAUAUCAGCUUUUCUAAUUUUUGUGAGUCCCUCAAGUGAAUUAUCAAACCUAAGGUAGUUUUGGGACCCCCAUCACAGAGAGUCAAACAGGGGCAGGGCAAGAAGAGCUGCUUUUCCUGGAAGGCUAAUGAGUCUGAACUUCGCCCUGGAGGUAAUCGUUAUAGUAACUCCAGGCUCUAACCUGGAGCUGACAUGAUAAGGUCAAAUGUACACCUCUAGAAGACUUCCGACUGCAGAGGGGAAUGGAUGGGGGAGCUGAGGGAGGAGAGCUGAAGCAGGAAGACCAUGGCCUGGAAAGAGAUGGCUGAACCAGUCCAGGAUCACAAGAAAGGCAUCAGCACCUUCUGUGAAAUGGGGAGCCAUGCAGAGGAGGUGCCCAGGUGGCGAGGAGUCCAUGUCAGCUGCCGUCAUCCACACCACAGAUCAGACAUGGCAAAGAGUGGCCAGGCCUUCUGAGUGAAGGUGAUCCAACCUGUCACCAAGCCUAAGGGCAAAUCCUGGCUGUGCUGUGAUGGCUCCAACAACCCCAAACAGCAGCGCAGAGGCUGCAGCCGCCCUCGGAGGCAACACUGGGAAACGCUCAUUAGCAGCCUUCCAUUGCUCACCCGCCCCAUCCCACCUCUGUGCAUCCCAGAUCAUCAGCGAAGUGCACAGCUGGCUUCCAUCCUCGGAGCCUUCCUCCUUCAUUUGCCUAUUCAACAGUUACAAAGGCCUGAGUUGCAAAGGGGCUUACAACCCAUUCCACCCAGAAGAAAGAGAACUGAGACUGAGCAAGACAGAGAAUAGGUGGAAGGGGAGAUGAAACCAAGCAAUCUCUAGAUCCCAAAUGGGGACCCUGAUGUAGCAAGAGCCUCUUUUAAAUCCUUUUCCAAUAGGGUAAUAUGGAAAAUAGUUGAAAGCACAAGCCAAGUGGGGCUGGAAUCCCAAAUGGGCCAUUUACUAGCUGUGUGACUGGACAAGUAAUUUCAUAUUUCUGGGCCUCGAUUUUUCUCAUCUGUAAAAUAGAAAAAAAAAAACCUAUGUCAUAACGUUGAUAAACAGAUUAGAUGAGCUAAGAUCUAAAAUGUCUUCUAUUCAGUAGGUGCUCAAUAAAUGUUAUCUAUUUUUAC